RNAcentral lists this ribosomal RNA (477 nucleotides) under uncultured bacterium. RNAcentral's name for it is "partial 16S ribosomal RNA". It matches the Rfam family "Bacterial small subunit ribosomal RNA", at positions 30 to 507 of the family's 1533-position model. The record is from RNAcentral.
CGAACGCUGGCGGCGUGCUUAACACAUGCAAGUCGAACGGAAAGGCCCUGCUUGCAGGGUGCUCGAGUGGCGAACGGGUGAGUAACACGUGGGUGAUCUGCCCCUUACUUUGGGAUAAGCCUGGGAAACUGGGUCUAAUACUGGAUAGGACCAUGCUGUAGGUGGUGUGGUGGAAAGAUUAGUUUCGGUAAGGGAUGAGCUCGCGGCCUAUCAGCUUGUUGGUGGGGUAAUGGCCUACCAAGGCGUCGACGGGUAGCCGGCCUGAGAGGGUGGACGGCCACAUUGGGACUGAGAUACGGCCCAGACUCCUACGGGAGGCAGCAGUGGGGAAUAUUGCACAAUGGGCGAAAGCCUGAUGCAGCGACGCCGCGUGAGGGAUGGAGGCCUUCGGGUUGUAAACCUCUUUCGCUCAUGGUCAAGCCGCAACUGUGGGUUGUGGUGAGGGUAGUGGGUAAAGAAGCGCCGGCUAACUACGUG